RNAcentral lists this long non-coding RNA (656 nucleotides) under Rattus norvegicus (Norway rat). RNAcentral describes it as "long non-coding RNA NONRATT000371". Lineage: Eukaryota; Metazoa; Chordata; Mammalia; Rodentia; Muridae. The record is from RNAcentral.
CUAGAGGGUGGGAAGGCGUCAGGCCUGUGCAGAGGAGCUGGGGAUGUGGGGGUGCCAGGCGUGGGGCCCGUAUGGGGGUAUGGGCCUGCAGGUGUCCGGCCGGGGGCCUGCUGCAGGUUAAGGAUGCUGUCGAUGGCACUCUGCAAAUGCUCAGUUUCUCCUUGGCGAGCUGCUUAUCCAAGGCAAGGGUGGUCUUCUCCUCCUGAAUGAACAUUCGGUCGAUCAUAACCAUCUCUGCGGAAGGACUGACUCUCUGUGCUAAGAGACCGCACCACCCCGACAAGAACAGUUCACAGCAGGGGAGGGACCCCAGCAGCUUGAGACUCCUACCCUGGACUCUUCCAGAAGCAAAAGCCGAUAUUUAUUGAGCAUGGCCUGGAAUCCCUACUACAGUAGGCUUGGUUUCCCUAUCACACGACCACGUUUCCAUCAGACAAGCCUAGAAGAUCAGCCCUCUGGCACCAUGGGGCAGAUUUCCUGAUAUGUUUAUUUGCUGUGAUCUUGGAACCCACACAGUGAGUGCUUACAAACACUGUGGUGGGAGAAGAACAGGAGAACACCAUUUAUUUCUCCAAAACAGCUCAAAGGCCAGCCAUCUUGCUACCUAUUCAAUGAACAGAGGCCUAUAAAACGUCAAACUUGUGUGCACCUAACUC